GACGAACGCUGGCGGCGUGCUUAACACAUGCAAGUCGAACGGAAAGGCCCUGCUUUCGUUGGCUGCUCGAGUGGCGAACGGGUGAGUAACACGUGAGUAACCUGCCCUUGACUUUGGGAUAACUUCAGGAAACGGGGACUAAUACCGGAUAGGAGCGCCGGCUGCAUGGGGGGGUGUGGAAAGUUUCGGCGGUUGGGGAUGGACUCGCGGCUUAUCAGCUUGUUGGUGGGGUAGUGGCUUACCAAGGCUUUGACGGGUAGCCGGCCUGAGAGGGUGAACGGCCACCUUGGGCCUGAGAUACGGACCAGACUCCUACGGGAGGCAGCGGUGGGGAAUAUUGCCCAAUGGGCGGAAGCCUGAUGCAGCAACGCCGCGUGCGGGAUGACGGCCUUCGGGUUGUAAACCGCUUUCGCCUGUGACGCAGCGUGAGUGACGGUAAUGGGUAAAGAAGCACCGGCUAACUACGUG
This 468-nucleotide ribosomal RNA is filed under the name uncultured bacterium. RNAcentral describes it as "partial 16S ribosomal RNA". It matches the Rfam family "Bacterial small subunit ribosomal RNA", at positions 28 to 507 of the family's 1533-position model. The record is from RNAcentral.